This 775-nucleotide ribosomal RNA is filed under the name uncultured Cytophaga sp. Its description in RNAcentral is "bacterial SSU rRNA". It matches the Rfam family "Bacterial small subunit ribosomal RNA", at positions 89 to 867 of the family's 1533-position model. The record is from RNAcentral. Lineage: Bacteria; Pseudomonadati; Bacteroidota; Cytophagia; Cytophagales; Cytophagaceae.
CAGAAACCGGCGCACGGGUGCGUAACGCGUAUGCAACCUACCUUUUACAGGGGGAUAGCCCGAAGAAAUUUGGAUUAAUACCCCAUAAUAUUAUUGUACGACAUCGUUUGAUAAUUAAAGCUGAGGCGGUAGAAGAUGGGCAUGCGUCCUAUUAGCUAGUUGGAGUGGUAACGGCACCCCAAGGCUACGAUAGGUAGGGGUCCUGAGAGGGAGAUCCCCCACACUGGUACUGAGACAGGGACCAGACUCCUACGGGAGGCAGCAGUGAGGAAUAUUGGUCAAUGGUCGGAAGACUGAACCAGCCAUGCCGCGUGCAGGAAGAAUGCCUUAUGGGUUGUAAACUGCUUUUAUAUAGGGAGAAUAAGGAGUACGUGUACUCUGAUGACGGUACUAUAUGAAUAAGCAUCGGCUAACUCCGUGCCAGCAGCCGCGGUAAUACGGAGGAUGCGAGCGUUAUUCGGAAUCAUUGGGUUUAAAGGGUCUGUGGGCGGGCUAUUAAGUCAGGGGUGAAAUCUUACAGCUUAACUGUGAAAUUGCCUUUGAUACUGGUAGUCUUGAAUAUUUGUGAAGUUUUUGGAAUGUGUAGUGUAGCGGUGAAAUGCUUAGAUAUUACACAGAACACCGAUUGCGAAGGCAGGAGACUAACAAAUGAUUGACGCUGAGAGACGAGAGCGUGGGGAGCGAACAGGAUUAGAUACCCUGGUAGUCCACGCUGUAAACGAUGGAUACUAGCUGUUUGGCGUAAGCUGAGUGGCUAAGCGAAAGUGAUAAGUAU